AACGCACCUUGCGCUCUUUGGUAUUCCGAAGAGCAUGCCUGUUUGAGUGUCAUGAAAAUAUCAACCUUGACUUGGGUUUUGUGCUCUAGUCUUGGCUUGGAAUUGGGUGCUUGCCGCUUUUACGAGCGGCUCACCUUAAAUGUAUUAGCUGGAUCUGUCUUUGAGACUUGGUUUGACUUGGCGUAAUAAGUAUUUCGCUAAGGACAUUCUUCGGAGUGGCCUCGUUUCUAGGACGCUUGUCCGCUUCCCAAUACAAGUUCCACCUCGUGGACAUGACUUUUUAUUAUCUGGCCUCAAAUCAGGUAGGACUACCCGCUGAACUUAA
This 325-nucleotide unclassified non-coding RNA is filed under the name uncultured fungus. RNAcentral's name for it is "partial contains 5.8S ribosomal RNA, internal transcribed spacer 2, and large subunit ribosomal RNA". The stretch from base 1 to 52 matches the Rfam family "5.8S ribosomal RNA", at positions 103 to 154 of the family's 154-position model. Lineage: Eukaryota; Fungi. RNAcentral also lists the same sequence under 1 other name. The record is from RNAcentral.